RNAcentral lists this ribosomal RNA (499 nucleotides) under Bacillus subtilis. RNAcentral describes it as "bacterial SSU rRNA". It matches the Rfam family "Bacterial small subunit ribosomal RNA", at positions 28 to 508 of the family's 1533-position model. Lineage: Bacteria; Bacillati; Bacillota; Bacilli; Caryophanales; Bacillaceae. The record is from RNAcentral.
GACGAACGCUGGCGGCGUGCCUAAUACAUGCAAGUCGAGCGGACAGAUGGGAGCUUGCUCCCUGAUGUUAGCGGCGGACGGGUGAGUAACACGUGGGUAACCUGCCUGUAAGACUGGGAUAACUCCGGGAAACCGGGGCUAAUACCGGAUGGUUGUUUGAACCGCAUGGUUCGAACAUAAAAGGUGGCUUCGGCUACCACUUACAGAUGGACCCGCGGCGCAUUAGCUAGUUGGUGAGGUAAUGGCUCACCAAGGCGACGAUGCGUAGCCGAACCUGAGAGGGUGAUCGGCCACACUGGGACUGAGACACGGCCCAGACUCCUACGGGAGGCAGCAGUAGGGAAUCUUCCGCAAUGGACGAAAGUCUGACGGAGCAACGCCGCGUGAGUGAUGAAGGUUUUCGGAUUGUAAAGCUCUGUUGUUAGGGAAGAACAAGUACCGUUCGAAUAGGGGGCGACCUUGACGGUACCUAACCAGAAAGCCACGGCUAACUACGUGC